RNAcentral lists this transfer RNA (76 nucleotides) under Chloroflexota bacterium. Its description in RNAcentral is "Chloroflexi bacterium tRNA-Glu". It matches the Rfam family "tRNA". From Rfam's summary of the family: Transfer RNA (tRNA) molecules are approximately 80 nucleotides in length. Lineage: Bacteria; Bacillati; Chloroflexota. The record is from RNAcentral. RNAcentral also lists the same sequence under 1 other name.
GCCUCCAUCGUCUAGUGGACCAGGACAGCGGCCUUUCAAGCCGCAAACAGGGAUUCGAAUUCCCUUGGAGGCACCA